Molecule: ribosomal RNA, 769 nt
Filed under: uncultured bacterium
Lineage: Bacteria
Description: bacterial SSU rRNA
Rfam family: Bacterial small subunit ribosomal RNA
Source: RNAcentral
AUUGAACGCUGGCGGCAGGCCUAACACAUGCAAGUCGAGCGGCAGCGACUUAACUGAACCUUCGGGGAACGUUAAGGGCGGCGAGCGGCGGACGGGUGAGUAAUGCCUGGGAAUAUGCCCUGAUGUGGGGGAUAACUAUUGGAAACGAUAGCUAAUACCGCAUAAUCUCUUCGGAGCAAAGAGGGGGACCUUCGGGCCUCUCGCGUCAGGAUUAGCCCAGGUGGGAUUAGCUUGUUGGUGAGGUAAUGGCUCACCAAGGCAACGAUCCCUAGCUGGUCUGAGAGGAUGAUCAGCCACACUGGAACUGAGACACGGUCCAGACUCCUACGGGAGGCAGCAGUGGGGAAUAUUGCACAAUGGGGGAAACCCUGAUGCAGCCAUGCCGCGUGUGUGAAGAAGGCCUUCGGGUUGUAAAGCACUUUCAGUAGGGAGGAAGGUAGUGUAGUUAACACCUGCAUUAUUUGACGUUACCUACAGAAGAAGCACCGGCUAACUCCGUGCCAGCAGCCGCGGUAAUACGGAGGGUGCGAGCGUUAAUCGGAAUUACUGGGCGUAAAGCGCAUGCAGGCGGCCUGUUAAGUCAGAUGUGAAAGCCCGGGGCUUAACCUCGGAAUUGCAUUUGGAACUGGCAGGCUAGAGUCUUGUAGAGGGGGGUAGAAUUUCAGGUGUAGCGGUGAAAUGCGUAGAGAUCUGAAGGAAUACCAGUGGCGAAAGCGGCCCCCUGGACAAAGACUGACGCUCAGAUGCGAAAGCGUGGGGAGCAAACAGG